UUGAACGCUGGCGGCAGGCCUAACACAUGCAAGUCGAGCGCGAAAGGUUUUCGGACUGAGUAAAGCGGCGGACGGGUGAGUAACGCGUGGGAAUCUGCCCAGUAGUGGGGGACAACAGUCGGAAACGACUGCUAAUACCGCAUACGCCCUACGGGGGAAAGGGGGGGAUCUUCGGACCUCUCGCUAUUGGAUGAGCCCGCGUCGGAUUAGCUAGUUGGUAGGGUAAAGGCCUACCAAGGCUACGAUCCGUAACUGGUCUGAGAGGAUGAUCAGUCACACUGGAAAUGAGACACGGUCCAGACUCCUACGGGAGGCAGCAGUGGGGAAUAUUGGACAAUGGGGGCAACCCUGAUCCAGCCAUGCCGCGUGUGUGAAGAAGGCCUUAGGGUUGUAAAGCACUUUCAGUGGGGAGAAAGGUUUGUCACCUAAUACGUGAUGAAAUUGAUGUUACCCACAGAAGAAGCACCGGCUAACUCCGUGCCAGCAGCCGCCGUAA
Molecule: ribosomal RNA, 496 nt
Filed under: uncultured bacterium
Lineage: Bacteria
Description: partial 16S ribosomal RNA
Rfam family: Bacterial small subunit ribosomal RNA
Source: RNAcentral